This 5259-nucleotide long non-coding RNA is filed under the name Hordeum vulgare. Its description in RNAcentral is "long non-coding RNA (HVUL_LNC011831)". The record is from RNAcentral. Lineage: Eukaryota; Viridiplantae; Streptophyta; Magnoliopsida; Poales; Poaceae.
UCCACCGUAAAAUUUGGUUCAAGAUCACAAUCACCUAACUAAAUCCAAAUUAUUCCAAGAAUAAUUAAAGAUUUGUUUAUACACCAAUAUAAUAAUCGCCAUGCUCAACUAGACCUAAGUUCUCAUAAUCCACCGAACAUCUUUAACUAUCUCCGGAAUAUCAUUUCUACAUCACCAUCAGAUUAUCUCAUCUUCCAAUCAUAAAUACUCAAAACAACUUCCGUAUGGCACCAGCCAACUUGGUGCUUGUUGGGGCUUAAGGAUGUAACAUGAUUGACUCACAAUCACAAUCUAAAGUUGGCCUUUAUUCGACGCAAAAGUUAUUGGUUCUUAUGCGGUGCUCCCAUAAUUCCGUAAAUUAAGCACAUCAGUAUAAGUCCAUGUUAUCAUAACUUUAAUAGCUAGGCUCAGUUUCUUGGGCUUACGACUGGUUCAAAGAAAGAAAGGCUUAAGCUUGAGAGCACAGAAACUUGGAAUAAGUUGCACUUAGUACAGUUGAAGGCGUAGACUAGAGCACAACCAACUUCUAUCUCUCCAAACUCAUCCAAACAACACAAUAUUUGUGGCACCUCACUCCACAACAACCAUGUCAUGCUAUCCUGAGUAGUAGAUCCACGUGCAAAAAUUGGAUCUGCCCACAACUGAUCACCAUCGCGGCUGCCUUCCUCGCUUCCCAUGUCGUCAUUCUUCCUCGCUUCCCAUGUUGUCAUUCUUUUGACCCCUUUCACCACACCCCUCAUGCACUCUCCGCUCCAUUCCAGUCCGAUUGGACAUCCUUUGCCUGGCUACGGGUUGCUUUGUGUGCUGCCUCGAUCCCACAACCCGUGUUUCCUUGAUGGGCGCCGCCAUAGCCGAACGCCCAAGCACCACCUAUCGGCGAUGCAGGAGCAAAGGCAGUCGGCACCGCAAUGUCUAACGCACAAGAUGUGAGCAUGACGCUACGUGUCGCCCGGGCCAACGACCCCCAACAAGGGAACGUAGGAUCCUACGUCAAGCCCGUGACACAUAACCCGCAUACAAGGGAAGGACGCCAAGCCGGAUCAACAAGGAACAAAAAUUGCACAACUUCAACGCCCACUCAUUCUAGUUUCACCGUCUAGUACUUGUUUGUCAACCUCUUCAAAUGAGCCCCUAACCACACAGAAGAUUACGCGAGUUUAGUGUCUAAUGGCUGCUUCUUUUGGUUCUCCAUCGACGGGUUUUGCUACCGAUUCCUUUGGUAACAAGAGACCACUUUUUACACAACAAGGUAUCUCAUGAACAUUCAACCUAUCUCGCUCUGUAGGGUGACAUUCAUCUUGAGUGGUUCAAGAUCACAGCUACCCAAAUUAGUGCAAGAUCAAUUAAAGAAAUGUUUAUUCACCAAUCUAAUAAUCACCAUGCUCAUGUACUAGACAUAAAAAUCAACAUCCACUACUCGUAUUAACCAAUCUAAUAAUCACCAUGCUCAUGUACUAGACAUAAAAAUCAACAUCCACUACUCAUCUUUGACUAUCUCCUCAAGAGCCCAAUAACCAGACUAAAUCCACGUAAAAUAUCAUAAUCCACCGAGAAAUUUGAUUCAAAAUCAUAAUCACCAAACUAAAUCCAAAUUGUUCCACUUAAUUAAAGAUUUGUUUAUCCACCAAUGUAAUAAUCAUGAUGCUCACCUAUUAGACCUAAAAUCUUAUAAUCCACCGAACAUCAUUGACAAUCUUCUCAACAUCACAAUCACCUAGCUAAAUCCAUCUAAAAUCUCAUAAUCCACUAUGAAAUUUUGUUAAAAGAUCACAAUCACCUAGCUAAAUCCAAAUUGUUUAAAAUUGAUCGAAGAUUUGUUUAUCCACCAAUAUAAUAAUCACUAUGCUCACUAAUUAGACCAAAAAUCUCAUAAUCCACCGAACAUCUUCAAGUAUCUUUUCAAGAAGAUAAUCACCUAACUAGAUCCACCUAAAAUCACAUAAUCCAUCGUGAAAUUUGGUUCAAAAUCAUAUUCACAUAACUAACAAAUCAAUGUAAGAUUAAUUAAAUAUAUGUUUAUCCACCAAACUAAUAAUCACCACGGUCACCGACUAUACCUAAAAACUCAUAAUCACAAUCUAAAGUUCGUCUUUAUUCGACGCAAAAGUUAUUGGUUCUUAUGCGGUGCUCUCAUAAUUCUGUAAAUUAAGCACAUCAAUAUAAGUCCAUGUUAUGAGAAUUUGAAUAGCUAGGCUCAGUUUCUCGGGCUUACGACUGGUUCAAAGAAAGGCUUAAGCUUGAGAGCACAGAAACUCAGAAUAAGUUGCACUUGGUAAAGUUGAAGGCCUAGACUAGAGCACAACCAACUUCUAUCUCUCCAAACUGAUCCAAACAAAAGAAUAUUUGUGGCACGUCACUCCACAACAACCAUGUCAUGCCAUCCCGAGUAGUAGAUCAACAACAACAACAACAACCAAGCCUUUCAGUCCCAAACAAGUUGGGGUAGGCUAGAGUUGAAACCCAUAAGAUCUCGAAACCAAGUCAUGGCUCUGGAACGUGGAUAGCUAACUUCCACGCACCCCUGUCCAUGGCUAAGUCUUUGUCGAUAUUCCAAACCUUCAGGUCUCUCUUAACGGACUCCUCCCAUGUCAAGUUUGGUCUACCACGACCCCUCUUAACAUUCUCAGCACGCUUUAUCCGUCCGCUAUGCACCGGCGCUUCCGAUGGCCUCCGUUGAAUAUAUCCAAACCAUCUGAGACGAUGCUGGACCAACUUCUCUUCAAUCGGUGCUACCCCAAGUCUCUCUCGUAUAUCGUCAUUCCGUACCCGAUCCUUCCUUGUGUGGCCACAUAUCCAUCUCAACAUGCGCAUCUCUGCUACACCCAACUGUUGAAUAUGUCGUCUCUUGGUUGGCCAACACUCCGCGCCAUACAACAUCGCAGGUCGGAUAGCUGUCCUAUAAAACCUGCCUUUUAGCUUUUGUGGCACUCUCUUGUCACAGAGUACGCCAGACGCUUGGCGCCAUUUCAUCCACCCAGCCUUGAUUCGGUGGCCCACGUCUUCAUCGAUAUCGCCAUCCUUCUGCAACAUGGAUCCCAAAUAUCGAAACGUGUCUCUCUGGUACCACCUGCCCACCAAGGCUAACCUCUCCAUCCUCGUGCCUAGUAGCACUAAAACUGCACCUCAUGUAUUCAGUUUUAGUUCUACUAAGCCUAAAACCUUUCGAUUCUAGAGUCUGCCUCCAUAACUCUAACUUUCUAUUAACCCCCAUUCGGCUAUCAUCGACUAGCACCACAUCAUCCGCAAAGAGCAUACACCAUGGGAUAUCUCCUUGUAUAUCCCUUGUGACCUCAUCCAUCACCAAAUCAAAAAGAUAAGGGCUCAAUGCUGACCCUUGGUGUAGCCCUAUUCUAAUCGGAAAGUCAUCGGUGUCGCCAUCACUUGUUCGAACACUUGUCACAACAUUAUCAUACAUAUCCUUGAUGAGGGUAAUGUACUUUAUUGGGACUUUAUUGGGACUUUAUCCCGAGUAGUAGAUCCACGUGCAAAAAUUGGAUCUGCCCACAACUGAUCACCAUCGCGACUGACGCAAAGGCACAGGGUGGAUGAUGCCUUUUCUACUCCCAAUGCCAUCUUCCUGCCUUCCUCGCUUCCCCUGUCGUCAUACUUUUGACCCCUUUCACCACCGAAUGGACAUCCUUUGCCUGGCUACGGGUUGCUUUGUGUCAUGUCUCGAUCCCACAACCCGUGUUUCCUUGAUGGACGCCGCCAUAGCCGGCAGUCGGCACCGCAAUGUCUAACGCACAAGAUGUGAGCAUGACGCUCCCUGUCGCCCGGGCCAACGACCCCCAACAAGGGAACGUAGGAUGCUACGUCAAGCCCGUGACACAUAACCCGCAUACAGGGGAAGGACGCCAAGCCGGAUCAACAACGAACAAAAAUUGCACAACUUCAACGCCCACUCAUUCUAGUUUCACCGUCUAGUACUUCUUUGUCAACCUCUUCAAAUGAGCCCCUAACCACACAGAAGAUUAGCAAGCUUAGUGUUUAAUAGCUGCUUCUUUGGUUCUCCAUCGACGGGUUUCGCUACCGAUUCCUUUGGUAAAGAGAGACCACUUUUUACACAACCAGGUAUCUCAUGAACAUUCAACCUAUCUCGCUCUGUAGGGUGACAUUCAUCUUGAGUGGUUCAAGAUCACAGCUACCCAAAUUAGUGCAAGAUCAAUUAAAGAAAUGUUUAUUCACCAAUCUAAUAAUCACCAUGCUCACGUACUAGACAUAAAAAUCAACAUCCACCACGCAUCUUUGACUAUCUCCUCAAGAUCCCAAUAACCAGACUAAAUCCAGGAAAUAUAUCAUAUUCCACCAAGAAAUUUGAUUCAAAAUCAUAAUCACCAAACUAAAUCCAAAUGGUUCCACUUAAUUAAAGAUUUGUUUAUCCACCAAUAUAACAAUCACUAUGCUCACUAAUUAGACCUAAAAUCUCAUAAUCCACCGAACAUCUUCAAGUAUCUUUUCAAGAAGACAAUCACCUAACUAGAUCCACCUAAAAUCUCACAAUCCAUCGUGAAAUUUGGUUCAAAAUCAUAUUCACAUAACUAACAAAUCAAUGUAAGAUUAUUUAAAUACAUGUUUAUCCACCAAACUAAUAAUCACCACGGUCACCGACUAUACCUAGAAACUCAUAAUGCACCAAAAAAAUUGUUUGUCUCCUCAAGAUCACAAUCACCAAAGUAUAUUCAACCACAAUUGCCUAACUAAGAAAUUUUUGUAAGAUUAAUCAAAUAUAUGUUUAUCCACCAAUCUAAUAAUCACCACGGUCACCUACUAGACCUAAAAUCUCAUAUCCACCGAAAAAAUCUUUGACUAUCUCAAGAUCACAAUCAUCAAAGUAUAUUCAACCAAAAUCUCAAAAUUCACCAUGAAAUUCGAUUCAAGAUCACAAUCACCUAACUAAAUAGAAAUUGUUCCAAGAUUAAUUAAAAAUGUGUUUAUCCACCAACAUAAUAAUCACAUGCUCACUUACUAAACAUAAAAUCUCAUAACAUCCUUGACUAUCUCCUCAAUAUCACAAUCACCAAACUAAAACCACAUAAAAAUCUUUCUUAGGUGUUGCUAAUGAUUUUCCUCCGAGGGGGAAUAGACAAAGAGGUCAUCAAUGAUGACGAGAAACUUGUCGAAGAACUCACAAACAUGUUAUUCAUGAUGUUCAUCAAAUAGCUAGGCGGGCAAGGAUUAGGUCAACGGCCACAUCCUUCACAUACAACUCUGUCGUCGCGAUUCGACCAAGUCAUGGAUUGGUGAGACUUAAGGUGCAUA